RNAcentral lists this long non-coding RNA (348 nucleotides) under Brassica rapa (field mustard). Its description in RNAcentral is "long non-coding RNA (BRAP_LNC007547)". Lineage: Eukaryota; Viridiplantae; Streptophyta; Magnoliopsida; Brassicales; Brassicaceae. The record is from RNAcentral.
AACACUCAGUUCCUGCUACAACCUUUUUAUAUAUUGACCUGCCAUACCUUUUAUAGUAACGACUUUCAGGUGAGUAAGACCCGUCUCUCCCUCUGUAAUAAGGCGAAUAAGACCGAUCUCUUCCCCUGUAGUAAGGUGAGUAUGAUCUGUCACGUGCUCUGUAGUCAGGCGAGUAUGACCUGGACCUAUACCGCCUCCUGUAGUAAGGUGAGUAUGAUCUGUCACGUGCUCUGUAGUCAGGAGAGUAAGACCUGGACCUGGACCUGUACCGCCGCCUGAAAUAAGGUGAUUCCGAUCUGUCACGUCUCCUGUAGUAACGAUCAUCAGGUGAUGGAGAUCUAGAAUAAG